UUCAAGUAGAAUCCAGGGUACCGGAGUUCUGCACAAAGCUCCCAUGUAAAGAAGCAGAAGAGAGAAUAAGCCAUGUUCACAUACUACUGCAUCAGCCCUUACUCUAGGCCAUGGUUUCUAUGGGAUUAUCCACGGGACUAUGCAAACACCAAAAUCAUCCGCCUGUCCAUCUUCCUCAUCAUUGGUGUGUGUGUGGGUUUUCCAGCUCUGCUUUGGACUGUCAGUGUUCUGUACCGCCAUCAUAAGAGUGGAGGUCGAAUCUCAACCAUCGCCAUCUUCCUCCUCCUCAGUGACCUGCUGGAGCUGAUUCUGAGUCCAGUCCUUUUAAUACUAUUCUAUUCUGCACCUCCAGUCCUCUCAGCAUCCAUUUUCAAAGGUGACUAUGCAGCUUGUGUGGCUUUCAACCUGUUGAUUGGAGCUAGGCUCUGUGGGCAUCAGCUUCACAAGCUUCUGGCAUUAGAGAGCAUUCUUACUCAGAAAUAUCCAUCACUUUCUCUUUUUUUCUCCCCACCCUGCUCUGUUAUCCUCUGUGUCAUUGUGUGGUUGGUAGCAAUUGGGUGCCAGUUCAUCCCAAGCCGAACAAUUGAUGAAAAAAAUAUAUGUUUUUGUGUGUUGCCUGUAGUUAUAUGUCCACUCACAUGUGUAUUGACUUGCAAAGCCUCUCCUGACACCAACCAGCCCACAGACAGGAAGCCAGGAGUGUUAGUGCUAAGUGUUGCCAUGUUUACUCUGAUCAUUUUAUACCUGCCAUUUUUCUUUAAUAUUAUCACUGGCCUGUCUUUUAUGUUGGACUCUCUAGCGAGCAUGAGAUUGAUUUCAGAGCCUCUCCUGUGUGUUCUCAUCUGCAGGGAGAAUCGUAUGGUUGAAACAGCACACACACAAACAGAUCACACACAAUAAAUUAGAAGCUUUUUAUUGGAACUAGAAUUAGAGCUAUUUUUUGAUGUGCACAUCAGAGAUUUGUAGUCUAUGUAAAUAUACUGUAUAUAAAAAGGUUAUAAAAAAGUAACAUUUAAUUUCUAAUGUAACAUUUUUAAUUUCUAAUAUUUCUAUUUGUUAUACACACACACACACACACACACAUAUACACACCAUUACAAAUUAAAUGUAAAUUUUGUCCUUUUUAAUGUAGGUAUAUUUUUUAUCAUAGCAUGUAGUAAAACAUCAUAUCAAAUCUUACUAAGUAUUAAUGUACAUUAUAUGCCACUUCUGUUGUUCUUUUUUGACAUCUAAGAACUUCUGGUUUUUUGGUCCCUUAUUACACUUUUGCUUAACCCAAGAAUGUAACAUUAAAUAAAAAUAAAUACCAAACAUGCAAACAGAAAAGCUGUAGUCCCUUCUUUUGAACAAAAAAAUAGCCACAAGUGGUGAUCUGUGGGGUCCAAACAGUCUUUGCAAAUAGCGCUUUCAAUGCUAGUUGUGUGAAAUGACUGCGGAAAGCUGAUAGACUGAAGGUGGCCAUGUCUUUGAAGUAAUUCCAUGAUCAUUCUUCAGUAAUUCAUAUGAUCAAUCAUGAAUUAUGGCUAUUUCAGUAAACCAGUUCCACCUCCUUAGAAUUGAUUAACAUGUAGCUGUCAUAUUGUUUACAAAUAUGAAAAUAUGAAAACGAAGCAUAGGGAGAACAUGUAAACUCUGUUCACACAGGGUGGAGGUGCCACCCCAGAGGUGCGAGGCAAACUUGCUAACCACAAAGCCACCAUAUCCCCUGUAAUUAGACAUAAAUAUUGUAAUAUAUUAGACUAUUUUGCAAAGUAGAUUUCACAUAUUAUGCAAAUAAUCAUUAAUUUGAGUGGGCAGAGGUAAAUGCUCCAAAAGGCAAUUUUGUAUCACAGUAAUGCUAGGUUUGAUAUGCUGUCACAGAAGACUGGCCAUGAAGCACAAAGCACAACAAGACAGAAUUUGUGCACUUCUGUUUCUUCACAAUGUUAGCAAGUGGAUUAUAAACACUAAGUGGAGUAUAAGUGGAUUACUGAUGCUACAGACUCCACGUGUCUGCAAUGUUUACUUCUUCAUAGGUGUGGAUGAGUGUAUGUGGUGCCCUGUGAUGGACUAGUGUCACAGCCAGGGUCUAUUCUAUUCUAUUCUAUUCUAUUCUAUUCUAUUAGAAUCAGCGAAUCCAGUGCAACCCUGACCAGCAUAAAGUGAUAAUCCAUUACAGAAGAUGAAUGAUUAAUUAAUUAAAAUAAGAAAUAUGGUUUGCAGAAAUGUUUAAUGAAUGUGUUUGAAAGAUUUUACACGCAGGGUUGCAGUUUGUUCUGGGGGUUUUCUAGCAUGUGAUUUUGUUUCAUGUGGUAAAAGAUCUUAUAUAUCUUCUCACUUAUCUGUUUUAUCUUGUCUGUAUGCAUGCUGACAAUGAAGACUCCUUUCAUAAAUGUUUGACAAAUUGCUGUGGUAUAAAUGGAAAAAAUACAUCUUCUGGCAAUUUUAUUGAAAGUAAUCAACUUCCCUUCACAUCAGUCUGCUUCACUGCUCCAGUUUUGAUUAUUUAGCUAUAACAGCAUGUUACAAAAUGUUGUAUUCCUUACACAUACCAUGCUUUAUUACAGCACAUGUAAAGAAGCAGAAGAGAGAACAAGCCAUGUUCAUACCCUCCUGCUCCAGCCCUUACAUUGAUUCAUCGUAUAUUUUACCUAAGUAUGCAAACAUCCUCCUGUCCAUCUUGGUGCCAGAUACCACAGCACACCUUCAGAGGUCUUGCUGAGUCCAUGCCUCGAUGGGUCAGAGCUGUUUUGGUGGCACAAGGGAGACUUACAAAAUAUUAG
Pangasianodon hypophthalmus (striped catfish) is the source of this 2762-nucleotide long non-coding RNA. RefSeq lists it as uncharacterized. Lineage: Eukaryota; Metazoa; Chordata; Actinopteri; Siluriformes; Pangasiidae. The transcript has 2 exons. The record is from RefSeq and is a predicted model, not a curated record.